CGUAGGGUGCGAGCGUUAAUCGGAAUUACUGGGCGUAAAGCGUGCGCAGGCGGUUGUGCAAGACAGAUGUGAAAUCCCCCGGGCUUAACCUGGGAACUGCAUUUGUGACUGCACGGCUGGAGUGCGGCAGAGGGGGAGUGGAAUUCCGCGUGUAGCAGUGAAAUGCGUAGAUAUGCGGAGGAACACCGAUGGCGAAGGCAGCUCCUGGGCCUGCACUGACGCUCAUGCACGAAGCGUGGGAGCAAACAGGAUU
This 253-nucleotide ribosomal RNA is filed under the name uncultured bacterium. RNAcentral's name for it is "partial 16S ribosomal RNA". It matches the Rfam family "Bacterial small subunit ribosomal RNA", at positions 526 to 779 of the family's 1533-position model. The record is from RNAcentral.